Molecule: non-coding RNA, 71 nt
Organism: Stegodyphus mimosarum
Lineage: Eukaryota; Metazoa; Arthropoda; Arachnida; Araneae; Eresidae
Source: Rfam
GCAUCGGUGGUUCAGUGGCGGAAUGCUCGCCUGUCACGCGGAUGGCCCGGGUUCGUUUCCCAGCCGAUACA